Oncorhynchus tshawytscha (Chinook salmon) is the source of this 4932-nucleotide long non-coding RNA. NCBI's taxonomy places the organism in Eukaryota, Metazoa, Chordata, Actinopteri, Salmoniformes, Salmonidae. The record is from Ensembl.
GGUCUUUUCACCACAUGCAGGGUCGUCUGGUCUUGGUGGCCGCCAGUCUACAGUAGAUGGAGUGAGAAACAAAGAGAGAGAGAGAACAUUUGGGCUGUAGACUAUAUGGGGAAUGCUUGUCUCCUCUCACGAGGCUGCAAUGGAAAAACCUAAACCACAGCCUUUGUUACUAUUUUUAGAACUUUUUGGGGGGUUAUUUUAUUAGGAUCCCCAUUAGCUCUUGCGAAAGCAGCAGCUACUCUUCCUGGGGUCCACACAAAACACGAAACAUGACAUAAUGCAGCACACAUUUAAAACGCCGCAGAUAGCCUACAUACCAGUACAUACACACAAAAGUAUUUUGCAAAUUAUGACAUUUUUUUGUUGAUGGUAUUAUUAUUAUUAUUAUCUCAUUAAGAAACUAUAUCAAGACUAUUUUAGAUGUACCUGUAUCUUGGCUAUAAGAGAUCUAAUAUGCGGACAAGCGUUUGUGCUUUCCAAUGCCCCUCCCUCUCCCUUGCCUUGGCCCACCCAUAGUUUGCACAACACCACCAUGCGGUCAAAUGUACACACACUUAUUCGGAGGAGCGCACACACACACGCAUCAGACCCACAGCUAUCUUAUGUCUUCCUGGUGCUUUUUUGUUUUCAUUGUGUUUAUCUGUUUUGUAUGAGCCCUUGCCUGCAGCUCUAGAUUCAUGAGCAGUUUCGGAGAGCAAGGCACUGAAAACUGAAUUAGGAAAUAGAGGAUUGGGGUAUUUCAUGUCAAAUACCACAACUUUAUAUAAGUGAGAUCUAUUGAAAACAUAAUGUAUGUUUUUGUCCAACCUUUUUAAAUAUAUAUCUGAAAAAAAAGAAUCGGUACUUUAUAACCGACUCGAACUACACUCACACGUCGAUAUUUACUGGAAUAACGUUUGAAGAUCCUACUUUUCCAUUGAGAUAUAGUUUUCUGCCAUUUUUGGUCUGAGGAUGUAUUCAUCAGCCAAUGGCCACAGUCCCAUGACAAUGUCCACAGUCCCAUGACAAUGGCCACACUUUGCACUCGCAUGUGUCUCCAUUGGUCUGUGAAUUUACUAAACGUUUUAUAAGGCACCACACAGGGGGAAAAAAACAGACUGAAACCUGGUGGAAACUCUCAUUUAUUUUUCCAUUGCAAAAUGUUUCGCUACGUUGUUCCCUAAUGAAUACAACCAUGGUGUAGGUAUAUCAGAUCAAUUGAAUAUAAUUCAGGUUUUGUGGUAAACGUAGACAGGACCACCAUUUGAGAACUGUCCCACUGGGCAAAAAGUGAUUGAGUUUUUAUUGUUUCCUUGUUAUUUCAGGAUGCUUUUAACAACGUUAUCAUGCUGCAUCAUUGUGGCUAUUUCAUUGAACAUUUCAAAAGUCUGUGGGUUUUAUAAAGUAGGUACUUCUAGCAACUCAAGCUUGUUGCGGCAGCAAUAUAAUUCAAAAUGGUUUCUCUCCCAAACUUCUGCCUCAACUUCCCUCUCUACAAUUCACCUUUUGGUGUUUUGGCAUCACAGUUAUUUAAUAUUGUAAAUGAGUUUGCACAGAUGCUGGUGUGUUUCACAUAUGGGACCACUACUCGGUAUGCAUGGGAAAGUUGUGGUUAGUUCCACCUCAAAUUCCAGUCACGUCAACCAUUAAUUCCAUUUCAAAUCUCUAUAGGAUAGCAAAUGAAACUAAGGCCAAUUUGGACUUGAGGUUAAGCAUCAAAUAACUUUGACUAAUGCCUGCUAAAUGACAGUGGUUGUAUUCGCCUAUUCUCCACACUGCACAUACCCAUGUAAAUGGUCUGUGAUUCACUGCACUGCAUAUUCAGUGCUACUGUAUGGCUUUUCCCACGUCACAGUUCCUGACCAGGCGGCCUAUUCAAAAGAGAUGGAGAAAGGAAAGGACAACUCGAGGAGACUCGAGGGAGGAUUAGGAGACUAGGAGAGGAAACUGCUUUAGACUAUUUCAGUAGCACUAUGUGAAACCAUGUUGGAAGCUCUUCUCCCCCCACACACACACACACUAUUACAGGUAAUAGUUUGCACUUCAUCUCAAUUGUCCAUGACAGUUUUGGAGGGAAGGAUUUCAUUCUUGAAUGUAGCAGAACACAUUGUUUGCAUUAAAGAUGUUUAACUAAGCACCCUGUCACACCACUGCCUACCAUUGUUGCAGUUUUCGUUUACUUUUUUUGUUAAAUAUCAUCCCCAGCUACCUAAAAAAAAAAAAAAUGAUUACAUCUCUUAUAGUACAUCUAUUUGUAAUUUCUUUGAUUAAUUUCUUUUUUGUUGGUCCUUUAACAAAAAAGAAAUGCAUUACCUUUCUGCCUGUGUGGUAUGUAUAUCCAUUUUUUUUAACUAGGCAAGUCAGUUAAGAACAAAUUCUUAUUUUCAAUGACAGCCUAGGAACAGUGGGUUAACUGCCUUGUUCAGGGGCAGAAUGACAGAUUUGUACCUUGUCAGCUCAGGGGUUUGAACUUGCAACCUUCCGGUUACUAGUCCAACUCUCUAACCACUUCGGCUACCCUGCCGCCCCGUACAGCCAUCAGGUGAUUCACUCUCUCAAGGGGCCUGUAAAUGUGGAAAAUGGAAUGAUUCCAGUCAAGUGAUUUAAAAAGUAGCCUAAUCGCUCAUCUAAUAAAACAUAUUAACCUUGUCAAAUGAAAAUAUUGGUAAUACAUUCUUUAUCUGGGUGUGAGAGAUCAAUACGUUUUGAAAUACAAUGGUAUUUAAUUCACCACUUGGGGACAUUUUGUUAGAGGGUACCUGUCAAAAGUUGGUGACUUUCAAAUGAUGAAACUCUGAUGAAGACCGCUUGCUGUCGAAAACAUUAGUAACUAAAUCAUAGCAUCGGAGCUACUAGAGUGUAGCUAGUGUAGCAUUUCCUUUUCUCUAAACAUAUUUUGCUUUCUCUAAAAGACUCCAAUGGUUGCGGGGAGACGCCAUGGGCGUGACCCAUAGGCACCCUAUUCCCUACAAAGUGAACCCGCUUUGAAAGUACUUUUCAAAAGUAAUGCACUGUUUUUAGGGAGUAGGGUGCAAUUUGAGACAACUUCUAUAAAAAAAGGCAGAGUGAACUGUAUACUACCAGUGAACAGCAUUUUCACAGUUGGUCAUUACAAAAAAAAAAAACAUUUCCAACAAGUACUGUUUAAAAAGAAUGUUUUUUUUUAUAGCUAAUUAAGACUUUUAGUGGUAGCCAGAUACUGGUUCAUUGUGUUUGUUUCUUGUUGUUUGACAAAACACUGAAGAAUGCAGUCUCCUCCCCCUUCUCACUAUCUCUCACACACUAUGACCAACUACUAAUGAAUGUUCUCUGUCCAAAUCCACGUGGUUUGCUACACAUGGCUAGGGCGUGCAGUAGUGACAGGGAACUCUACCUACAUCUUCACUAUAUGUCAGAGUCAAAACCAAUGACUUUUCUUCCAUUUCUCCUUCCCAUCCCCCCCAACAUGUUCUCCUGCACCAUAUUGCCGGCGACAAACACUACCUUUCCCUGCUCAUUAAUUAGUGGUUCCUCAGUUGUUCCAAUGGCUCAGUCUGUUGAAGAUGGUGCUCGCAACACCCGGGUCACCACAUGGGACAUAUACAAUGUGUUCGCUUGAAUAAAAACGACAUUCACUUUUUUUUUUUAACUUAAGUCAUUCCAACCAUAUGCCUGGUUGCUUGUCAGCUAGUUGCUCCAUUUCUCGUUUCUCAUUUGGGGGUUAUUUUUCUCCCCACCACCACAGUGACAGAAUAGCCUGAGCAUCAGGCUUUGCAUUGGAAAGGCCUGGCUUUUAUUGGCCAUCAUCCCCCCUCCUGGGAAAAGGUCGGUCUUGAUUGCAGCCCAUUGUUUGCUGUUGUGUGUUUGCCUGAAUUGCUGAUGGCCCCCUUUGCUCUGCUCAGUAAACGGCGGGGUGUCAAUGGCUCUGCUCCCUCUCUGUGAAUAAGUCAUCUCCAGGCUUUGUGUAACAAUCACUUGUCAUUGGUGAUUUGAUCAUUUACCAGGAAGGGGGUUGGGUGUGUCUGACAAGUUGUGUUCUUGGUUUGCUCUUGUGACCAAUGUAGUUAGACGUGGGUAUUUGUUUUUCAUGCUUAUUCUGGACCAUUCCAACUCGUUUCUCUGGUGUUUUGUAAUCCAGUGCCUUGGACUUGGAUGCAUUCUGUUAUAACAUGAGGCUCCCGAGUGGCGCGGUGGUCUAAGGCACUGUAUCGCAGUGCAAGAUGCAUCACUGCAGGAGCUGGUUUGAAUUCAGGCUACACCACAUUGGGAGUCCCAUAGGGCGGUGCACAGUUGGCCCAGGGUCGUCCGGGUUUGGCUGGGGUAGGCCGUCAUUGUAAAUAUAAUUUGUCCUCAACUGACUUGCCUAGUUAAAUAAAGGUAAUUUAAAAAAAAGAUAACAACAUAUUGGUAAGAUGAGGGCAGUGGAAGGUAGGCCAAGAAAGAAAACAAGUAGGCGGCCAGUACGAUACAGAACAUUUUUACAACGAAUACAUACUGUAUAAGGAGCAGAUCGGCCUAUAGUGUAUAUAACAUCAGAACGCACGACUGCAACGCAUUUUGACUAAAAGAGUCUUCUUCAGGCAGGGGGAACAUAGGGGUAACAAGUGUUAUUUGUACCACUAUAUGAGAGCCUGCUAGAUUGCGCAAAGCAAUUUAUAUUGUAAGUCGAUAACAGGGUAAUGGUCAUAUGAAGAAAAUAAUGAAACUGACUAUCAAUACUGAUAAGAAUGGAUGUCCCCCCCGCUAUCACUUCACUUGGGCUCCGGCGGGCCCCUUCUGGCCUUCCAAAACCACUUCCAGACACCCGUUUUCCAAGGUGGUUUCCCAUCCAAGCACUAAUCAGGGAUAAUCCUGUUAGUUUCAGAGGAAAGACAACUGAGAUCUGUCAACACUGCCAGCUUUAUUUUGAUUUGAGUCAGUUCCUGACAGGAAUUGAAAUAAUGUAAUAUGCAUAUGGUGAGUGUGAGUGAGUGA